GGCUGUGGAGCGGUGGUAGUGCAUCUUCUUGGUGUGCUGGAGGUCCUGGGUUCGAUCCCCAGCAUCGCUA
Molecule: transfer RNA, 70 nt
Filed under: Sphaerodactylus townsendi
Lineage: Eukaryota; Metazoa; Chordata; Lepidosauria; Squamata; Sphaerodactylidae
Description: tRNA-Thr
Source: RNAcentral